CGGGGCGUAGCGCAGCCUGGUAGCGCACUUGCAUGGGGUGCAAGGGGUCGUGAGUUCGAAUCCCACCGUUCCGACCA
This 77-nucleotide transfer RNA is filed under the name Formosimonas limnophila. RNAcentral describes it as "tRNA-Pro". It matches the Rfam family "tRNA". Rfam says of the family: Transfer RNA (tRNA) molecules are approximately 80 nucleotides in length. Their secondary structure includes four short double-helical elements and three loops (D, anti-codon, and T loops). Lineage: Bacteria; Pseudomonadati; Pseudomonadota; Betaproteobacteria; Burkholderiales; Burkholderiaceae. RNAcentral also lists the same sequence under 20 other names. The record is from RNAcentral.